RNAcentral lists this transfer RNA (84 nucleotides) under Caryota urens. Its description in RNAcentral is "tRNA-Tyr". It matches the Rfam family "tRNA". Rfam says of the family: Transfer RNA (tRNA) molecules are approximately 80 nucleotides in length. Their secondary structure includes four short double-helical elements and three loops (D, anti-codon, and T loops). Further hydrogen bonds mediate the characteristic L-shaped molecular structure. tRNAs have two regions of fundamental functional importance: the anti-codon, which is responsible for specific mRNA codon recognition, and the 3' end, to which the tRNAs corresponding amino acid is attached (by aminoacyl-tRNA synthetases). tRNAs cope with the degeneracy of the genetic code in two manners: having more than one tRNA (with a specific anti-codon) for a particular amino acid; and 'wobble' base-pairing, i.e. permitting non-standard base-pairing at the 3rd anti-codon position. RNAcentral also lists the same sequence under 1 other name. The record is from RNAcentral. Lineage: Eukaryota; Viridiplantae; Streptophyta; Magnoliopsida; Arecales; Arecaceae.
GGGUCGAUGCUCGAGCGGUUAAUGGGGACGGACUGUAAAUUCGUUGACGAUAUGUCUACGCUGGUUCAAAUCCAGCUCGGCCCA